UACGGGAGGCAGCAGUGAGGGAUAUUGCACAAUGGGCGCAAGCCUGAUGCAGCAACACCGCGUGAAGGAUGACGGUUUUCGGAUUGUAAACUUCUGUUCUCAGUGAUGAUAAUGACAUUAGCUGAGGAGAAAGCCACGGCUAACUACGUGCCAGCAGCCGCGGUAAU
Molecule: ribosomal RNA, 167 nt
Filed under: uncultured rumen bacterium
Lineage: Bacteria
Description: partial 16S ribosomal RNA
Rfam family: Bacterial small subunit ribosomal RNA
Source: RNAcentral